Molecule: RNase P RNA, 294 nt
Filed under: Candidatus Pelearchaeum maunauluense
Lineage: Archaea; Thermoproteati; Nitrososphaerota; Candidatus Caldarchaeales; Candidatus Calditenuaceae
Description: RNase P RNA component
Rfam family: Archaeal RNase P
About the family: Ribonuclease P (RNase P) is a ubiquitous endoribonuclease, found in archaea, bacteria and eukarya as well as chloroplasts and mitochondria.
Source: RNAcentral
GUGGGCGGCCGGGCGGGCCACCGGGAGCUCCGGAGGAAGUUCCUCCCUCGCGGGAGGGGGCGCGGCGCCGCGAGGCGCAGGGGGAGACCCCUGGCAACGCCCCAGAAACGAGACCCCCACGCGGCCAUGGCCAUGAGACGGCGCAUAAGCCGUUGAGGAGCCGCGGCGGUUUGGUUGAAACGGGCGACCCGCGCCGGGAAAGGUCGCAGGGCCUAUGAGCACCCUCCCCAAGGCCCAGCAAGCCCGACGAGACGAAUCCCGCCACAAACAGAAGAAGGGCUACGAGCCGCCCAC